CCCCAUCACUGUGAGUAACAGAUUUGCAGCAGUUUCUGGUAGUAAAGAUGACCCUCUAGGGGAGGUAGAGGGAUCAACAUCAACAUCUUACCAAUGAAGUGGUUAGUAUGGAAUAUUAGGGGUGUAAAUAAAAGGUACAAAAAGAAAGAGGUUAGGGAAUAUAUUUGAAAAAACAAUAUUAACCUAGUUGGAUUAGUAGAAACUAAGGUUAAACAAGUACAUGCUAGCAGAUUUGCUAACCUGCUAGCUCCAGG
Molecule: long non-coding RNA, 254 nt
Filed under: Nicotiana benthamiana
Lineage: Eukaryota; Viridiplantae; Streptophyta; Magnoliopsida; Solanales; Solanaceae
Description: long non-coding RNA (NBEN_LNC007056)
Source: RNAcentral